This 722-nucleotide ribosomal RNA is filed under the name uncultured bacterium. RNAcentral's name for it is "bacterial SSU rRNA". It matches the Rfam family "Bacterial small subunit ribosomal RNA", at positions 28 to 733 of the family's 1533-position model. The record is from RNAcentral.
AACGAACGUAGCGGCGCGCAACACAUGCAAGUCGCACGAGAAAGGGAUUCGUCCCCGGUACAGUGGCGCACGGGUGAGUAACACGUGGAUAAUCUUCCCUCGGGCGGGGGAUAACCUUCCGAAAGGAGGGCUAAUACCGCAUAGGACCACGACGCCGAAAGGUGUUGGGGUGAAAGCAGGCCUCUCUACAGAAGCUUGCACCUGAGGAUGAGUCCGCGGCCCAUCAGCUAGUUGGCAGGGUAAUGGCCUACCAAGGCGAAGACGGGUAGCUGGUCUGAGAGGAUGAUCAGCCACACUGGAACUGAGACACGGUCCAGACUCCUACGGGAGGCAGCAGUGGGGAAUCUUGCGCAAUGGGCGAAAGCCUGACGCAGCGACGCCGCGUGAGUGAUGAAGGCCUUCGGGUUGUAAAGCUCUGUGGGGAGAGACGAAUAAGUAGGGGUUAAUACCCUCUGCGAUGACGGUAUCUCCUUAGCAAGCACCGGCUAACUCUGUGCCAGCAGCCGCGGUAAGACAGAGGGUGCAAACGUUGUUCGGAAUUACUGGGCGUAAAGCGUGUGUAGGCGGCUUUGCAAGUCGGAUGUGAAAGCCCCGGGCUCAACCCGGGAAGUGCACUCGAUACUGCAGAGCUUGAGUGUGGGAGAGGUUGGUGGAAUUCUCGGUGUAGAGGUGAAAUUCGUAGAUAUCGAGAGGAACACCGGCGGCGAAGGCGGCCAACUGGA